RNAcentral lists this ribosomal RNA (252 nucleotides) under Triticum aestivum (bread wheat). RNAcentral describes it as "partial small subunit ribosomal RNA". Lineage: Eukaryota; Viridiplantae; Streptophyta; Magnoliopsida; Poales; Poaceae. The record is from RNAcentral.
AUGGCCGAAAGAACCCAGCCGCAACCGAAGGCAACCUGGCCGCGGACCUGGAGCUCCAGGUGCUCAUCAUUGCGGAAGGAGGUACGACGUCGCGGCGGCGGCCUGCUGCAAGGUCGCGGACGCGAGGAUCCAAGGCGUCGGGCUAUGGGGCGUCGAGGAGGAGGCGGGUCGAUGCGGAGGCGUAAAGGCGAGGCAGAGGCGCGAGGGGUGCAGGAAGAUGGCCGGGGUGCACGGAGCAACGACGGUCGCUAG